GUCACAGGUCUUAUUUUAGUGUAGGCAAAAGCAAAUCCAGCAACACCACUGCCUCUCCCACUGGCCAGAAGUUUGGGGCAAGGGAGAGUGACCCUUUAGAGCACAGACCUCUGAGAUGGUUUGAAUAUGAAGUGUGUCCUAAAGUGUUAUAUGCUGAGGGGCCUCAUCCCAAAUGCAGCAAUAUUCAGAGGCAGAGCUUAGAGAGGUAGUUGGAUCAUGAGGAAACUAACUUCUUCAAUGGGUUAAUGCACCCAUAACUUCAUGGCCCUAAGGGAUGUUAGGUGGAGAGCCUAGGGGAAGGAAGUAGGUCUCUGCAGUGAGCCUUUAAUGGUCAGAGCCUGUCCCCAGCUCUUUCUUCUCUCUGGGCCUUCCUUGUCCUCCCUGCUUCCUGGCUGCCAUGAGCUCCUCCUUUCUCCCUCUGCUUCCUGGCUGCCAUGAGGUGAGCAGCUUUCCUCUACCAUAUUUCUGCCUUGGAGACCAUGAAGCAUGAACUGAAUACUCUGACUGUAAGCCAAAUUAAACUUCUCCUCCUUUAAAUUGGGGCUGCCAGGUAUUGUGGCCCCAUAACAGGAAAGCUGACUAAAACAGACAGGGUCUUAUUACAUAGGUCAGGCUAGCCUUAAACUCACUGGCCCAUGCUGGCCUCGAAUUCAUGAUCCUCCUGUCUCAGCAUCACAAGUGCUAG
RNAcentral lists this long non-coding RNA (685 nucleotides) under Cavia porcellus (domestic guinea pig). Its description in RNAcentral is "lncRNA (ENSCPOG00000031871.1)". The record is from RNAcentral. Lineage: Eukaryota; Metazoa; Chordata; Mammalia; Rodentia; Caviidae.